UGCCAAGUGGUUACUGCUGCUGUCUGGUAUUUGAAAAUUCAACCCAAGUGAUGUUGCUGAGAAAGGUUGAUCAUACACUGCCUGUGACACAGGCCUAUGAGCUACUGAUUAAACUCUCUAAAAAUGUCAGGUUAGUUUUGCUAGGUCAUUGUGCUGAUUCUUCAGACUGGCUGUGUUCUGAUGAGCUUCUCCCUUUUUUUCUCCUGUCAUUUCAGGAUGGCACCCUCAGCAAAUUCACAGACAACAUGAAGCUGAGAGGGAGUAUUGAUCUGCAGGAGGGCGGGAAGUCUCUGCUGAAGGAUUGGACAGGCUGGAUCAAUGACCUGAGGCCAAUUGCAUGAGGUUCAACAAGACCAAGUGCCAGGUCCUGCCCUUGGGUCACAACAACCCUGGGCAGUGCUACAGGCUGGGGACAGAGUGGCUGGAAAGCUGCCCAGGGGAAAAGGACCAGGGGGUGCUGGACCAGAGCCAGCUGGACAUGAGCCAGCAUGUGUCCAGGUGGCCAAGAAUGCCAGUGGCAUCCUGCUUGGAUCAGAAAUAGUAUGGCCAGCAGGAAAGGGAUUGUCCCCCUGUACUGGGCACUUUUGAGGCCACACCUCAGGUGCUUUGUUCAUUUUUGCACCCCUCCAGGCCAGAAAGACCCUGAGGUGCUGGAGCAAGUCCAGAGAAGGCCAGUGGAGCUGGGUAAGGGUCUGAGCACAGGUCUGAUGAGGAGCAGGUGAGGGAUCUGGGGUUUAGCUUGGAGAAAAGGAGGCUCAGGGGAGACGUCAUCACACUAUACAACUACCUGGCAGGAACUUGUUGCCAGGUGGAUAUUGGUCUCCUCUCCCAGGUUACAAGUGACAGGAUGAGAGAGAGGAAGUGGCCUCAAGUGGCCUCUCUGCAGCAGGAAGAUUUGGAUUGGAUAUUAGGAGAAUUUUUUUCGCUGAAAGUGUUGUCGAGCGUUGAAUUAAGCUGCCCGGGAAAGUGGUGGAGUCACCAUUCCUGGAAGCAUUCAAAAUAUGUGUGGAUGCAUCACUUGAAGACAUGGUUUAAUGAGACUGCUGAGCUUUUUGGGCUGGAAGUCAGCUUGAAGAAGACAGAAGUUUUCUAUCAACCUGCACCUCAGGAAGUCUUCCAUCAUCCUCAUAUCACCAUUGGCCAGUGAGUCCAGCAGUUUAAUUACGUGGGAAGCAUCGUCUCCUCGGAUGGUGAGAUUGACAGAGAGAUAGACAACAGGUUAGCAAAGACAUAUAGAGCUUUCGGAAAACUCCAUAAAA
This 1259-nucleotide long non-coding RNA is filed under the name Manacus vitellinus (golden-collared manakin). RNAcentral describes it as "lncRNA (ENSMVIG00005018652.1)". Lineage: Eukaryota; Metazoa; Chordata; Aves; Passeriformes; Pipridae. The record is from RNAcentral.